UAUAUUUUAAUAUAUGAUGUAUAUUAAUUUUUGAUGUUAAUUGAAAAGGUUUAAUUCCUUUAAAUAUAA
RNAcentral lists this transfer RNA (69 nucleotides) under Histeroidea sp. 3 KM-2017. RNAcentral describes it as "tRNA-Gln". Lineage: Eukaryota; Metazoa; Arthropoda; Insecta; Coleoptera. The record is from RNAcentral.